RNAcentral lists this transfer RNA (89 nucleotides) under Solirubrobacterales bacterium. RNAcentral describes it as "tRNA-Ser". It matches the Rfam family "tRNA". From Rfam's summary of the family: Transfer RNA (tRNA) molecules are approximately 80 nucleotides in length. Their secondary structure includes four short double-helical elements and three loops (D, anti-codon, and T loops). Further hydrogen bonds mediate the characteristic L-shaped molecular structure. tRNAs have two regions of fundamental functional importance: the anti-codon, which is responsible for specific mRNA codon recognition, and the 3' end, to which the tRNAs corresponding amino acid is attached (by aminoacyl-tRNA synthetases). tRNAs cope with the degeneracy of the genetic code in two manners: having more than one tRNA (with a specific anti-codon) for a particular amino acid; and 'wobble' base-pairing, i.e. permitting non-standard base-pairing at the 3rd anti-codon position. The record is from RNAcentral. Lineage: Bacteria; Bacillati; Actinomycetota; Thermoleophilia; Solirubrobacterales.
GGAGGGGUGCCAGAGCGGUUGAAUGGGGCAGUCUCGAAAACUGUUGUACGUCUUUCGGCGUACCGUGGGUUCGAAUCCCACCCCCUCCG